GAGGGUAUAGCUCAGUGGUAGAGUAUGUGCUUUGCACGCACAAAGUCCUGGGUUCUAAUCCCUGGUACCUCCU
Molecule: transfer RNA, 73 nt
Filed under: Camelus bactrianus (Bactrian camel)
Lineage: Eukaryota; Metazoa; Chordata; Mammalia; Artiodactyla; Camelidae
Also listed under: 2 other names
Rfam family: tRNA
About the family: Transfer RNA (tRNA) molecules are approximately 80 nucleotides in length. Their secondary structure includes four short double-helical elements and three loops (D, anti-codon, and T loops). Further hydrogen bonds mediate the characteristic L-shaped molecular structure. tRNAs have two regions of fundamental functional importance: the anti-codon, which is responsible for specific mRNA codon recognition, and the 3' end, to which the tRNAs corresponding amino acid is attached (by aminoacyl-tRNA synthetases). tRNAs cope with the degeneracy of the genetic code in two manners: having more than one tRNA (with a specific anti-codon) for a particular amino acid; and 'wobble' base-pairing, i.e. permitting non-standard base-pairing at the 3rd anti-codon position.
Source: Rfam by way of RNAcentral